RNAcentral lists this long non-coding RNA (239 nucleotides) under Pelobates cultripes (western spadefoot toad). Lineage: Eukaryota; Metazoa; Chordata; Amphibia; Anura; Pelobatidae. The record is from RNAcentral.
AGAUCAUUCCCCUGCAAUUUCACUGCUCAAUUCACUGUCAUUUAGGAGUUAAAUCACGUUGUUUCUGUUUAUGCAGCCCUAGCCACACCUCCCCUGGCUUUGAUUGACAGAGCCUACAUGGAAACAAAAACUGGUUUCACUUUCAAACAGAUGUAAUUUACCUUAAAUAAUUGUAUCUCAAUCUCUAAAUUGAACUUUAAUCACAUACAGGAGGCUCUUGCAGGGUCUAGCAAGCCAUU